This 29-nucleotide non-coding RNA is filed under the name Mus musculus (house mouse). The record is from RNAcentral. Lineage: Eukaryota; Metazoa; Chordata; Mammalia; Rodentia; Muridae.
UACUAAGAUGGAAGCUUGCCUUUGGGGAG